This is a long non-coding RNA of Monomorium pharaonis (pharaoh ant), 4483 nucleotides long. RefSeq lists it as uncharacterized. Lineage: Eukaryota; Metazoa; Arthropoda; Insecta; Hymenoptera; Formicidae. The record is from RefSeq and is a predicted model, not a curated record. The transcript is spliced from 4 exons.
CUCUCGCCAAUUUUAACCCUUCGGGUACUACACCCGCCGACGAUGUCUGCUCACCGGUGCCAGGGUGCACCUUUCAUCCCCCUCCUCUCCUCCUCCCCUUCGAGUUUCGUGUCUACGAACAGUAGAAGAACGAUGUACUGUGUGAAUACGAGACAGGGAAGCUCAUUGGCAUAAGAGCCAGCCACGACAUGGUCGACGUUGAUCCUCAUCGACGUAUUCGUCGCUGUAUACGCGAAGAUGAAACUGUGAGAAGUUGCGCAGGGCGGCGGUGUCUUCUUAUUGGAAAUCUUCUGGGGGGGAAAAUCGGAGUAACUCAACCGUUAACUUCCAUGUCAUAUCGGCAAUCGAGACGAGGAGGACGAUUUAAAAGGAUUCUCCAUCAAGCGCCCGGGAGUUUCGUUGGCUAGUACAACCGAGCUCGCACAUCCAUCGGCCUCCAAUAUCUCUCCCCUCCCUCCAUUCGUUUUCCGUCCUCCUUGAUUCCCUCCUUUCCUCCGUUCCUCUUUCCCCUUGAUUCCUUUUCAGUCUUCCGAUCGCAGUCAGCUCGUUGGCGGUGUUCGGUUUCUGAUUAUCGGAAAUCGAUCCCCUGGCAAGCCGUUAAGGGCACGGUCGACUAAGCUGGUUGGAACUCUUUUUACUUUCUCUCUGUCUUUCUCCCAUGGGCCACCAAACAUAUGAUUAGUGGAUACACGAUAUUUUACCCGAUAAAUCAGCGGAUCUGCCAUACACGAGCAUCUCACAGUUUCAACAUAUAAUGUAAACACUUUGUCUAAUACAUGUUUCAUCACCGUUUUAUGAUGUUACAGAAAAUACUUUGAUAAAAUCUCUCGAAAAAAUAUAGCCGUAUUACCCGCAAAUUUAUUAUAGAUUUACUAAAUUAAGGAAAAAUUUAUGUAAAAUUUUUAUGUAACAAAUCACGGACACAAAGCCUUGGAAAAUUGUUUGUAAAAAGUUUAAAGCGGCGCUUCGGAGACGCUACAUUUACAUUUUGGCUGAACGAUUCGUCUUGCCUCGGAAUUCAUAGAUUUAUAGUAUCCCGUAAUGUUCGAAUUUACCGAAUAAAGCAACUAGGACGCACUGAACCGUGUCGUAUGUUUUUUCCCUAGUUUGAUUCUUCGAGUUUUCCCCUCCUAUUCCAUGCGAACUACUGGCGGCUCGUUGCCGGUGUUCGGUUCCUGAUUAUCGGAAAUCGAUCCGUGGCAGGCCGUUAAGGGUACGGUCGAACAAACCGGUAGGUACACCGUGAGAGGAGGGACGCAACACCAGGCUACCAUCAAUACGUGAUCGCCGGAUGUACGGCGCGCGACACGGUCGUUCACAUUUAAAUAUCACCGGCGCGACGACACGAUCUCUGAUUCUCGGUAUUAGGCUAUUGAAGUUUAGAACUAUUAAAAAUUAAACGUAAAUGGAUGAAAACGUCGAGUGAAAUGAAUGAAUAAAAUUCAAUAUGCCAGAAAAUUUACUGACAUAGUAAUAAUUAUUAUUUACGAUUGUCUCAUACUCGAGUAUUCAACGAAGCGGAUUUUAAUUUUGCAACGGUCUCGUUACAAAGAUUUACGUACUAACAAAUGGAUAAUUUACCAUCGACACGCGGCCAGCUUUGCCAACGACCCACGGAUAGACAUAAAACAGAAGCAAAGCAUAAAAUUAGUUCGUUUACGAACUGUUGCUCGUACGUGUUUAUUUAUCUCGGAAAUCGUAGGCGCGUUGUACGUAGCGAGAGGAGGCUAUUCUCGAGAGUAUGGGCCGAAAGGGGAACGAAAAUUGAGCACCGCGGGCGGCCGUUGUAAAUUAAAUUUGGUUGCAAAGGAAGUCAUAACGGCCGGCACGUGCCCGUCGCUGUUGCAUGGCGUAUACGUGCGUCACGGGAUUAUGAAAAAAAUCUUCCGCGGCGAGUCGCGGGAGCCGGUCCCUCUUUUUUUUUCCUCUUUCGUCAGGAAGCGUGGCUCUUACGUGAUCCGAAUGCGUAAAGCUCGGUGUACAUUAGAUAAACCCGAUGGAAACCCGGACAAUUAUAACUCAAUUGUGAAGCCCACACUAUUUCGUGCUUCUUUCAAAAUAAUAUAGCUCUUAAAAAAAAAAUAUCUAAUUUUUAAAUUAAAUCUAUUCGCAAAAAAAACAUUUUCCAUAAUAAUUACAAGCCUGUUUGAUCAUUACUUUUAAUUCUUAUAAACAGAUCAAUCUUAUCGCCUUUCGUUUAUAAAAUAAUGUCGCGAGAGUGGCGACACAUUCGUUCCCCCUCAAUUAUUCACGUUGUUAAUUAAAUCCAUCUGCAUACAGUGCGCAUACGUUUAAACACUCAUCCCUCAUGCUUACCGUCCUUCUUUUUUUUCUACGAAAGCUCAUAAUAUGAGAGUAAAUAAUAAGGGAUGCACUGUACGCUCUCCCCAUCAGCAGUCUACACAAUUUUUCCAACGAGGGAGCGCGGUGAAAGGAACGACGUUAUGACGCGCUAUAUUUUCUCCCUUUUCAUCUGGUGCGCCGCGUCUUUCGUUGCAUUUUAAUGACGGAAUCGCGCGAGACUGAUGAUACUUGGAGUACAGGAGGGGAGAAGGAGGAGCAAAUGGGGGGGGAAAAAGAAACGUCCGGACGAUUAACGCUUCGAGGGCGAAUGGACUCGCACUCGCGCAUGAUCGAACGGCAGUCGGGCUUUGCUCUACCGUUUGCGAUCGGUUCCAGCUGAGCAAACUAAACCUCUAAACUAACGGCCUAUUAGGAAUUUAAACGCGGCAAUAAUCUCUGCGCGCGCGCGCGUAAACCACGCCGAGUGCCACUGGACAGUUGUUCUCUUUCCCUCUUUAUCUCUUCUAUAAUUAUAAUAAAACCGUAACGAAACGAUUAACUGCUUCACUUAGUGUGAAAGCUACUAUCACAAUAUAUUUCUCAUCCGCGCACGUGUGACUGUACAAUCCGGUACGUUAAGUCCGGUAGUGAAGUGACUCGAAUAUCAAUUACACACUCUCUCUACGGGGUAGCGCGCGGUUACCCCGUAGGUGAACCGGUUGUUGUAUUGAUCGCCACACAGGUGAUCGUAGAUUAGAGAACACGAAUUAAUAACGUACUAUUAAUAACGUUGUAAUACAGCGUAUUGGAAAAUAUGCUGCACGACCGCAGCGGCCGUUUUACGAACGGGAAAUGGAAGAGGAAACGAGUGGAAAUAUUCUCCUGCUAAUCUACAACAUGGAAUUGAAAUUGCAACUCCCGAGUGAUUUAAGUACACGUCCCGGCCGUAAAAGUGAGGAUUUAAAUAAUUCGGCGAUUUCCAUCUGUCCUCCCUCCCACCUGCCUUCAUCGAAAUGCGUCGCGCUCGUAAACGUGCAGCGCGCGCGCGCGAGGCUCUUUCGUUCGCUGACUUUUUCCACAUUAAUGAAAUACCGACUCGCCUGUUUGCAAGCGUAAGCGCGCCGGGCUUCCUGUGCGUGCGCGAUAACGCACAGGACGGAGAUCUUCCUGUUCCUUCGUUCGCAUUUAUCGUCGUACGCUCGACCGGGCCGCGAGAAGGAGACACACGGCUUCCGAGCGAUGUCCCCCCGAUCAUCGGAGGCGUCUGCACGCAAACAAGCCGGUAGUUCACCGGACUGGUGAAUGGGUAAGCGAGCGGUAGAAAGAUGGAGGACGUCAGGAUUCCACCGAAGGAAGGAGAAACGAUUAGCGAUUCAGAUUUCAGAUUUCUAUCACAUGGUCGUGGCUGUGCAGGAGGAGACCUACAGGCAAAAACCGAGCACUCAUAGAUUCUUCAGCAUCAUUGGUACUUGCCCUUAGUUCUUCAUCCCCUCCACAGCCGCUGAAGAGUGUAACUUUGAUUACCGUUGCAUAAUACGACGGAUCCAAAAUGGCACGGACGGCCGACGUGUGUUCGGUAUUUCCGCUACGGUCGCAGCACGUGGCGUCAUAUUUUUAGAACGUGCCGUACGGAGUCACACCUAAUACUCGCCCGACGACAGGUGGAUCGUUAAACGAGAGCCUCGCGCGCGUGUGCGCGUAUGCGUGUGCGUCUCCGCGUUUCUCUCUCUCCUUUCUCUCACCUUUUUUUUUUUCUCUCUCUCCUUUCUCCGUGCCGCCGACGGUGACGAAUGUCACCGCGCGCGUUGUGUGAAAAUGUCAGCGCCAUGUACGAGGUAUUUAGGAACGCCAUGGGGAACCGGUUGUACACGUCUCUUGCGCGCUUUAACUCUCGGAGCGCGCGCGCGCGAUGAUUCGCGCGUUGCGGAGAAUUUAGGGGGAGGCUCCGGCAGGUUUUCGACAUCGAACGGAAAAACGGCGACGUGUGUAACAAAAGGGACAAGAUUAAUUCGCGCGGGAUAUCCUUGCGCUUGUAGCAAGCGCCGCCGGGAAAUGCGUAACAUAUUGCACGCGCGGCUCGCGCAUUGCGAGAGGAUAAAUGUAUCCUUUCACGUUGCGUUUCCUCCCUUCGCGCGGGGAGCGCGUUUUUUUUUUUCGGAACGCGGGAAAAGCGUCAAAGACCCGAACGAAGGGGAAAAAA